UCUCUUGAAUACCCUGUUGCUUUGGCGGGCCCACCGGGAAACUCCCGGUCGCCGGGGGGCAUUGCGCCCCCGGGCCCGCGCCCGCCAGAGCGCCUAUGAACCCUAAUGAAGAAGGACUGUCUGAGUCUACGAUAUAAUUAUCAAAACUUUCAACAAUGGAUCUCUUGGUUCCGGCAUCGAUGAAGAACGCAGCGAAAUGCGAUAAGUAAUGUGAAUUGCAGAAUUCCGUGAAUCAUCGAAUCUUUGAACGCACAUUGCGCCCCCUGGCAUUCCGGGGGGCAUGCCUGUCCGAGCGUCAUUUUAGCCCUCAAAACCGGCUUGUGUGUUGGGCGUGGUCCCCCCGGUUUAGGGGGGACCUGCCCGAAAGGCAGCGGCGACGUUCCGCCUAGGUCCUCGAGCGUAUGGGGCUUUGUCACCCGCUCGGGAGGGGCCUACGGGCGUUGGCCAUCCACCAUUUUUUUUUAGGGUGACCUCGGAUGAGGAGGGGAGGGGAACAGG
Molecule: unclassified non-coding RNA, 498 nt
Filed under: Talaromyces minioluteus
Lineage: Eukaryota; Fungi; Ascomycota; Eurotiomycetes; Eurotiales; Trichocomaceae
Description: sequence contains 18S rRNA gene, ITS1, 5.8S rRNA gene, ITS2, 28S rRNA gene
Rfam family: 5.8S ribosomal RNA (bases 145-298)
Source: RNAcentral